GACGAACGCUGGCGGCGUGCUUAACACAUGCAAGUCGAACGGAAAGGCCCUGCUUUUGUGGGGUUCUCGAGUGGCGAACGGGUGAGUAACAGGUGAGUAACCUGCCCUUCACUUUCGGAUAACUUCAGGAAACUGGGGCUAAUACAGGAUAGCAGAUCCCGCUGGAUGGAGGGGGGUGGAACGUCUCGGCGGGUGGGGAUGGACGCGCGGCUUACCAGCUUGUUGGUUGGGGAGUGGCAUACCAAGGCAUUGACGGGUAGCCGGCCUGAGAGGGUGACCGGCCACAUUGGGACUGAGAGACGGCCCAGACUCCUACGGGAGGCAGCAGUGGGGAAUAUUGCACAAUGGGCGGAAGCCUGAGGCAGCAACGCCGCGUGCGGGAUGACGGCCUGCGGGGUGUAAACCGCUUUCGCCUGUGACGAAGCGUGAGUGACGGUAAUGGGUAAAGAAGCACCGGCUAACUACGUG
Molecule: ribosomal RNA, 468 nt
Filed under: uncultured bacterium
Lineage: Bacteria
Description: partial 16S ribosomal RNA
Rfam family: Bacterial small subunit ribosomal RNA
Source: RNAcentral